GAUGAACGCUGGCGGCGUGCCUAAUACAUGCAAGUCGAGCGAACAGAUGAGAAGCUUGCUUCUCUGAUGUUAGCGGCGGACGGGUGAGUAACACGUGGGUAACCUACCUAUAAGACUGGGAUAACUCCGGGAAACCGGGGCUAAUACCGGAUAAGAUUUUGAAUCGCAUGGUUCGAUAGUGAAAGACGGUUUCGGCUGGCACGUAUAGGUGGACCCGCGCCGUAUUAGCUAGUUGGUAAGGUACCGGCUUACCAAGGCGACGAUACGUAGCAGAACUGAGAGGGUGAUCGGCCACACUGGAACUGAGACACGGUCCCGACUCCUACGGGAGGCAGCAGUAGGGAAUCUUCCGCAAUGGGCGAAAGCCUGACGGAGCAACGCCGCGUGAGUGAUGAAGGUCUUCGGAUCGUAAAACUCUGUUGUUAGGGAAGAACAAAUUUGUUAGUAACUGAACAAGUCUUGACGGUACCUAACCAGAAAGCCACGGCUAACUACGUGCCAGCAGCCGCAGUAA
This 514-nucleotide ribosomal RNA is filed under the name uncultured bacterium. RNAcentral describes it as "partial 16S ribosomal RNA". It matches the Rfam family "Bacterial small subunit ribosomal RNA", at positions 28 to 523 of the family's 1533-position model. The record is from RNAcentral.